AUUGAACGCUGGCGGCAUGCCUUACACAUGCAAGUCGAACGGUAACAGGUCUUCGGAUGCUGACGAGUGGCGAACGGGUGAGUAAUACAUCGGAACGUGCCUAGUAGUGGGGGAUAACUACUCGAAAGAGUGGCUAAUACCGCAUGAGAUCUACGGAUGAAAGCAGGGGAUCGCAAGACCUUGUGCUACUAGAGCGGCCGAUGGAAGAUUAGGUAGUUGGUGGGAUAAAAGCUUACCAAGCCGACGAUCUGUAGCUGGUCCGAGAGGACGAUCAGCCACACUGGGACUGAGACACGGCCCAGACUCCUACGGGAGGCAGCAGUGGGGAAUUUUGGACAAUGGGCGCAAGCCUGAUCCAGCAAUGCCGCGUGCAGGAUGAAGGCCUUCGGGUUGUAAACUGCUUUUGUACGGAACGAAAAGCCCUGGGUUAAUACCCUGGGGUCAUGACGGUACCGUAAGAAUAAGCACCGGCUAACUACGUGCCAGCCGCCGCUGUAA
Molecule: ribosomal RNA, 498 nt
Filed under: uncultured bacterium
Lineage: Bacteria
Description: partial 16S ribosomal RNA
Rfam family: Bacterial small subunit ribosomal RNA
Source: RNAcentral